This 125-nucleotide ribosomal RNA is filed under the name Vibrio parahaemolyticus. Its description in RNAcentral is "partial 16S ribosomal RNA". It matches the Rfam family "Bacterial small subunit ribosomal RNA", at positions 1 to 108 of the family's 1533-position model. Lineage: Bacteria; Pseudomonadati; Pseudomonadota; Gammaproteobacteria; Vibrionales; Vibrionaceae. The record is from RNAcentral.
AAAUUGAAGAGUUUGAUCAUGGCUCAGAUUGAACGCUGGCGGCAGGCCUAACAAAUGCAAGUCGAGCGGAAACGAGUUAUCAGAACCUUCGGGGAACGAUAACGGCGUCGAGCGGCGGACGGGUG